Long non-coding RNA from Juglans microcarpa x Juglans regia, 522 nucleotides. RefSeq lists it as uncharacterized. Lineage: Eukaryota; Viridiplantae; Streptophyta; Magnoliopsida; Fagales; Juglandaceae. The record is from RefSeq and is a predicted model, not a curated record. The transcript has 2 exons.
CCGAUUUCCACGAAAGCCCCACUUUCCCACUCAAAACCGCAAUCCAUUCGAAGCCGAAACCCUAGCCAUAACUCAACCCGUGGCAUAAUCCCUUGAGGUAAUUUGUCCAAAAUCUAACCCUAACCCUAACCCUAACAUCAAAAAGAUGCAAUGGACUGUUAAGGAGCUAAAGAGAGUUCAAAAAGAAACUCGAAGACAUCAAGAAGGAGGAGAUUAAGCUUUGUAAGAGAGCGGAUGAGAUCGAGAAGAGAGAGUUGGGGCUGCUGGAGCAAGAAGUUGGAAUAUUGCGUUCACACAUAUUACUCCGGUGAUAUUGGACUUUUGUAGUUGUUGUGUCAUGUUAUGUAAUAGUAUGUAGGUGAUUUUGAAACUUCAUAUAUGUUGUAAAAUUUGUAGGCUUAUGUUAGACUAAUUAGUCGGUGCUUACUAGAGUUCACCAACGAAUUUUGUGAAAUUUGUACUUAGCUUAAGUUUUUGAAGUGAUUUGGGAUUGAGUUUUGUAUAAAUGAAUGAUUAGUUUAA